This 270-nucleotide ribosomal RNA is filed under the name uncultured archaeon. RNAcentral describes it as "partial 16S ribosomal RNA". It matches the Rfam family "Archaeal small subunit ribosomal RNA", at positions 477 to 747 of the family's 1478-position model. The record is from RNAcentral.
CUGCAGCUCAAGUGGUGAUCGUUAUUAUUGGGCCUAAAACGUUCGUAGCCGGUUUAGUAAAUGCCUGGGUAAAUCGUGUAGCUUAACUAUACGAAUUCCGGGUAGACUGCUAAACUUGAGACCGGGAGAGGCUAGAGGUACUCCUGGGGUAGAGGUGAAAUUCUGUAAUCCUAGGGGGACCACCAGUGGCGAAGGCGUCUAGCUAGAACGGGUCUGACGGUGAGGGACGAAGCCCUGGGGCACAAACCGGAUUAGAUACCCGAGUAGUCC